CCCUUAGAUGUCCUGGGCCGCACGCGCGUUACACUGAUGCAUUCAACGAGCUUAUAACCUUGGCCGAGAGGCCUGGGCAAUCUUGUUAACGUGCAUCGUGAUAGGGAUAGAUUAUUGAAAUUAUUAAUCUUGAACGAGGAAUUCCUAGUAAACGCAGAUCAUCAAUCUGCAUUGAUUACGUCCCUGCCCUUUGUACACACCGCCCGUCGCGCCUACCGAUUGGAUGGUCCGGUGAAGCCUCGGGAUUGUGGUUCUUGCCGCUUUAUUGUGGCGUGACCGCGAGAACUUGUCUAAACCUUAUCAUCUAGAGGAAGGUGAAGUCGUAACA
Molecule: ribosomal RNA, 328 nt
Filed under: uncultured eukaryote
Lineage: Eukaryota
Description: partial 18S ribosomal RNA
Rfam family: Eukaryotic small subunit ribosomal RNA
Source: RNAcentral